Molecule: ribosomal RNA, 253 nt
Filed under: uncultured bacterium
Lineage: Bacteria
Description: partial 16S ribosomal RNA
Rfam family: Bacterial small subunit ribosomal RNA
Source: RNAcentral
UACGUAGGGACCGAGCGUUGUCCGGAAUCAUUGGGCGUAAAGAGCGUGUAGGCGGCCAUUUAAGUCCUGCGUGAAAUCCUGCGGCUCAACCGCAGGCGGUCGUGGGAAACUGGAUGGCUAGAGUGCGGGAGAGGAGAGUGGAAUUCCUGGUGUAGCGGUGAAAUGCGUAGAUAUCAGGAGGAACACCUGUGGUGUAGACAGCUUACUGGACCACUUCUGACGCUGAGACACGAAAGCGUGGGUAGCAAACAGG